This 19-nucleotide small nuclear RNA is filed under the name Arabidopsis thaliana (thale cress). RNAcentral's name for it is "snRNA_18783". The record is from RNAcentral. Lineage: Eukaryota; Viridiplantae; Streptophyta; Magnoliopsida; Brassicales; Brassicaceae.
AACCGCUACCAACCGCAAA